UGUUUACCUCUUCUUUUGCAGAUGGCUUGAUAUAGAUGAAGAUGCAGCGGCCAUAAGUGAUGGAAACCACAGUAAUAUGUGAAGAACAGUUGUUCAUGUAUUCUAGAGGAAAAGAAAGGAAUAUCAUUAUAUACUGCUAAUG
Molecule: non-coding RNA, 142 nt
Filed under: Pongo abelii (Sumatran orangutan)
Lineage: Eukaryota; Metazoa; Chordata; Mammalia; Primates; Hominidae
Source: RNAcentral